Paramacrobiotus metropolitanus is the source of this 2210-nucleotide long non-coding RNA. RefSeq lists it as uncharacterized. The record is from RefSeq and is a predicted model, not a curated record. The transcript has 4 exons. NCBI's taxonomy places the organism in Eukaryota, Metazoa, Tardigrada, Eutardigrada, Parachela, Macrobiotidae.
CCGUGGACGUCUGCGUCCAUAAUUUACUACGGGAAUUAGCGCAGGAAUAAUCCACCAUCUCCAUCGACUGUAGGGAUCGCAGUUUGCAACACGUUACUGGCGCUUCUGAAAUCCGUAUAUAAUUGUAUAACUGUUUCCUUGUAUAUAUUCAGUUACUUGUAUUUCUCUGCCCAGUUCGACCGUACACGAAGCCAGAGCCAAAAAUAUUACUGAAUCAUAAUGUAAAUGUGUGUUAAUCACCUGGUCCGGUGUUGGUCCAGAAGUUGGCCGGACGGAAAAGCAAAUGCGUCCCGUUGGUGAUGACGCCGUCGUGCUGGUAGCGCUUGCUGAGCGUGAAGCGCAUCGUCGUCGGCACAUAAUCGGAGGAUGUACUGCGGUACACCGCGGCGUAAAUGCCGGCAGCAAUCUCCAGUCCGAGGAUGAUGAUGAGAAAUAUGGCAUACUGCGACACAGGACGUACCACGGGUCGCCACUCCUUGAGAGCGCCGCAGCAGCCCAGGAAGGCAACGACAAAAACGAUUACGCCGCUAGCAAUCAGCAGAUAGGCUGCUUGCUGCAGCAUCGUGUCGGCCCGCUCGAACUUCGUCAAAUCCUCGUUGACCUGCAGGCGCGCGGUCAGGAUCACGAAGGAGCUCUUGUCCACCUGGCCGCAAAGGAUCCGGUUCCUGAGAUCUGCCAACCAAAGCGUCAAAAGAUGAAGAAACAUUAGGGAAAAUUUUUGAUACAAAAGAAGUUGUCGCGCGUAAUGGUGAAUUAUAAAGUUAUAGCCAUUUUGAAUCAACCAGUUCUGGGUAUUAACCAAGCGAUCCGCUGGGUGCUUGAAAUCUGUUUUGUGGUCGCUACACGAUGGAAUCAUACGUUCGGAUCGGAUCAUAAGAUUCACCAAAUUCGACACCGAAAUUGUUUCAGCACAUGCUGAACACCAUCAUGAAAUUUAAAAAUGGUCCUAUAUAUAAUAUGCGUACAUGUUUCGAUUUUAGACAUGCACAUUAGAACAUGGACAACGGCAUUAAUAUAUAAUUUGCGACUGAUCGAUAUAUUCAUGGAUCUAGUCUUACUGUAACCCUUGCAUUAAAAAAUUUGCUUAAUAUUUAAAAAGCACGAUAGAUGCAAAUUACGUGUUACAUAAUGUACAUGAAUGAUAAGAGAUGUGCCUUGUGCUUAUUUUUUGUUUUGUAUUUAGCCAUUGUAACAUUCUCACCAAUAGCCAGAUCCCGAUCCCCAUCACGACCAGACCGCCGAUGAAGAAGAUCAUAUUGAAUAUCACAAGGACUAUCCUGCAACAGCACUUUACAGUAACACUUCAUUAAACGUUUACUAAUUUGCAGGUGAGAAGUCGAUACUUCGCGCAUUUGAUCCCGCAGGUCAUCGCCAUGAUCAAACCGAUAGGAAUGCUGCUACCACCGUAUAUGACAGGGAACUAAAGCACACAUCAAAUGCCACUCCAAAAGCCGGAAUUAGUCAGUGUUAAUCCAAAUCCUCCAUAUACUGUAACUACCACAUCACAUGAGAACAGCUCCUCGGAUUUCUGAAACAGGUACAACUUUGGCGUUCGCAAUGCGAGCAUCGAUUAUAUUUAUUAUGCGAUACUUCAUUUAUUUAAUAACGCAAUCCGAUUAUGUAAAGAUUAUUUACACCGCCACCAGUUGAUACUCCUAUUCUGUAAUUAUAGAGGUAUCACAUGUAAAUUGUAUUAUUAUACUUUUCGCUGUAUAUGUAAAAUUAGGAAUAAAAUUAUAAAGCUAAUCUUUCAUACCGCCAUUGCUUUAUCUUUAUCAGAACAUUAUUUUGCGGUAUUGGUAUUUGCAGUUUGUUUUUGGUUAGCUUAUAAAGUUGAGUAUAAUUAUAUAAAGUUACGUGAUUAUAUAGUACAUAGUUAUUGUAAUGUCGUACUAUAUGUUAAUUGGGAGAACUAGUAAAUUUAUGUCCAGACAAGCGAAGUUUUUUGCGCUUUCUUCGUCUGAUCAUGAGGCGCGCUCGGCAUCGCCGGAAUUGUGCAUUCUUUGUUGCAUACGCAAUUGCAUACAUAAACGCGUGAAAGGGAUUCCCUGUGGGAACGGGAUAAAGUGCGGCCUUUGUGGGAUGGAAUUUGUCUGUGUGUGCUUCAAGUAUCGGAACUCAUCAAUUCGGCCAGUUUUAAGUUCUCUUAACAAUUCUCAUCAUGUUUCUUAAGCGCGCUCAAUAGACAGGAAUAAGUGUUUUAUGUCGAA